CUGUUGUCUCCGUUUGGUGGGCGUGUAUUUGAAUGGGUCGUUGCACGCCCUAAUGCCUUGCCUCUAAUCACGCGCCAUGGAUUUGCAUCUGACCUGUUGUAACCAUGGCUAUACUAGACUACCAUUCGUUCACUCUGAUCGUGCUCGCUGAUUGAAAGGUUUUGAUGUUUCUCUCUAAUGAUUAUUCUUAAUUAGGUUGAUGCCUUCUGGUGAUAGUACCGGAUCCAUCGUCUGAAUCGCUCACGCCUGAUGAAGGUCGAAACCGAAUAAAAAUCAGCUUUUCUGGUUCGAGCCCAAUUGUUCAUUUAAAGCCGGUCCGGUCAUUCGCCGUCGGGUGCAAGAGGAUGCGUCAACCGCAAACGAACAACCGCCUUCCACAGGGUGUGCUUCGAAUGUCGGCCUGGACGAAAAAAAAAAAAAAAAAAGGCAUAUCCGGUAACAGUAUUAGGCUCUCCAAUGUCUGCUCUGCAGUUUAUUCGAACUGUACUGCAAGUUCCCACCUCUUCCGCGACACAUGCUUGGCCAGGAAAUCUUAGACAUUAGCGUAUCUCUUGAUCCAGCUGCG
Molecule: long non-coding RNA, 565 nt
Organism: Daphnia carinata
Lineage: Eukaryota; Metazoa; Arthropoda; Branchiopoda; Diplostraca; Daphniidae
Exons: 3
Source: RefSeq, a predicted model, not a curated record